RNA transcript from Helianthus annuus (common sunflower), 3008 nucleotides. It is a transcript of the gene named AMP deaminase-like, with no coding region annotated. The record is from RefSeq and is a predicted model, not a curated record. The transcript is spliced from 11 exons. NCBI's taxonomy places the organism in Eukaryota, Viridiplantae, Streptophyta, Magnoliopsida, Asterales, Asteraceae.
AUUAAGGACAUAAAACGAGUAAGGAGGGUGCGAACAGACCUGCUUUACUUAAUCUUACUCAAGAUCAGCUCAGGGUAAUUACAUAUUUGAGUUCGAGAAUUUCUCAGAUAGGGAGAUUUGCAGGGACUUUGUAGAGUUGACUUAGAGAGAUCUUCUUAAAGCAAGACAAUUUGAUUCAAGGUCGUUUCUUGGGAGAAUUAACAAAGCAAGUUUUAUCCGAUCUUGAUGCAAGUAAAUACCAGGUGGCGAGUAUAGGGUGUCGAUAUACGGAAGGAAGCAAAGCGAAUGGGAUCAGUUGGCAAGUUGGUUCAUUCAUCAACAAUUCAAUUUAUAGUGAAAAUGCCGGGUUGACCCAAACCAACUUUGUCGAAUUUGUAACUGUUGUACAUCCAUGCAGUCAGAACUUUUGACCCGAGUGCUUUCACAGCCUCAGAGAGUUCUUAUCCUCUUGGUGUUCCUAUGAUCGUGAGCCUGCUGAAGAGGAUAUUGUUGUGGAUUUUAAUCUCACAUUAGCAGCUGGACAUGUAUUGGGUUUGACCUCAGAAUUCAACGUCCAACAUUCUACUUGGAGUUAUUGUUAGGCUCCUCAAACGCCUUACGCAAUUUAGUGGUCAUCGUUACUGGUCCAAGUUCUAACCAAUCUCCUAUGUUGUCACCAUGAAGAGGGCAAUGCUCGCUUUAUCAAUGUAUUUCUCGAGUCUUGCAGACGGAAUCUUCUUUACCUGGUGGUGCUGCUGAAAGAACAGAUGCCGCAAGAAAAAACCUAUCUAUAUAUUUUGAUUUCAACACUUCCUUCAGCUGAUAAGAAGUUAGAGAUGCCAAGAUGGGUGGGUUGGGUAACGGGUCACUUUUCACUACUGGCCGGGUCGGUUGACCCAUAAACACUUUCUUAUGCAUUAUAAUAUUCUAUAUAAAAAACUUGAAGUGUUAGUUUGUAAUAAAAAAAACGAUAUUAUUUCAAAAGUAAUCUAAAUUUUUUGAAUAAAACAAUUUAGAGGGUCAAAUGUUUAAAAUAUAGAUGCUUGGUGACUUCAACCUGUUUGACCCGUUGCCCUUUUAGCUACUUUUUAUUUGGCUCAUUUGAGAUAAAUACAACCCCGAUCAAUCCAUAAUGCGUAUAUAUUUAUGCCAUCGUUAUAAGAAGCAAAUGUGGUUUGUUUAUAUUAUAUCUGUGUGUUGCAGCUUCCUUAUUGGCUCAAGCAGAAUCUAUGACGCCUAAUUAUCUACAGGAAGAGAAUGUGAAUGUUCUCAGGUGAAUUUUUUAGGCUAUCACCCAGGAACUUCCUGGGCUUGGAAAAUUUAAUUUACAAUACACAAAAGUACAAAAAAUAACUCUUGUGGUGCUGCUGAAAGUAUAUGUACUACCUUGCUUAGAUCGGGUUAUAAUUCGCUUUUCCUAGACUCCCAUCGCAACCCGUUUCCCAUGAUUUUCCAUCGUGGCAUCUUUGUUUCGCUCUCAACUGAUGACCCGUUGCAAAUUUAUCUAACAAAAGAACCUUUGGUAGAGGAAUACGGUGUUGCAGCCAAGUUUACCAGUCUGGAUUCUCACACGCAGCAAAGGCACAUUGGCUUGGAACCAAGUACUACAAGCGAUGAUAUACAGAAGUCAAAUGUACCAAAAUUGAGGAUUGCAUUCCGUCAUCAAACAUGGACCGAGGAAAUACAUUACGUGUAUGCAGGACGCUCAAGACUACCUCAAGAAGUCGAGUAUUAGUAGGACGGGUAAAGCAGCCUCAGUUCUCAUCCUUAGAUAAGAAAACACACAAUCAAACAAACAAAAGAUCUUAGGUUGUUUAGAUGUAUGCCUUAUAAAAGAAUGCAUUCUAGAAGGCUUUUAUGAUUUCUUUCGAGCUGCUAUUGUGCUUAAGGAGAGUUGGAGACACUACUUGCAAUUACAAAGAAGAACCGCAGUCUGUAGCUCUCGCUUCGAAGAAUGAUGCAGAAAAUAUGAAACUGGUGGAAAAAAGAGAGGAUAGUGGUGGGACAAUGGCACUGCCUGUUGAAGGGUUUAUUAGUAAGGUUUUGCAUGGAGUGGAUGGGUUUAUGAAUCUGGGUCUUCGGUAGGGUCUAAUGUAGGUGUUAGUGGGGUGUUUGGGACGAAAGGUACCUCACCUAUCAUUUGUUGUCAUUUAUAUGUUAAAUUUCAGAAGGUAUUAUGAUUAAAUGUAGGUUUUUUCUAAAGUACUGUUAGUUCCUUUGAUUUUAUGAUGAAAUAUUUUUAACAUUUAAUGCGAUGCUUAGUUUUUGCAUAUUGACAUAUUCUAUUAAGAGGCAUUUUUUAUUUCGGGUUAACCUUUUAGGAGCUGGUAAACCAUACUUCUCUACUUAAUUGCUCCAUAAGUCUUUUUUCAGGUAAAGAAAUCUAUUUUUAAAGUGAAUCUCAGUAUAACGGCUAUGAACUACUAUAAAAUAUAUAAAUUAUUUCAUAUUUGGUGAGUUAGCAAUUUGACCUGUUAAUCUACAAAUGCUUUUGAUUUUGGAUUAAGUUUUUUAUCUAACUGAUCAAAUGGGCACUACCAUAACCGAUUGUGCUCUAUAAGAGUGUUAGAUUGAUUCAAGUUUCGUGUGUAUAGUUUUGAGAAAUUAUAUGGCUCAGAAACUUUAGAUACAAUAUAUGAAUGUUCUGUGUUUUUUGCAAUUCAAUAUUUUGCGAUAUUGUGCUUUUUUGUGAUAUUUGCUAUCUGGAGGCAUUACUUCCGGAACACACAAGGUCUUAUUUUUGAGGUUGAUAGCAAUGAUAGGGACAAAGAUGCAAGAGAUGAAGGGGCAUAAAGGGGUCUAAUCUUUGUUUGACGAUAAUGGAAUCUUAAAAAAUAGCUUAUUUUGGGUUGGCGAAUUUCUUUAAUCAUAGCCAAACAGUGCCAUUGACCAGCCGGGUAGUGACUUUGGUAUCGACCACUAGAAUUACUAUUCGGAGCAACUCAUUAUGGAGUGCAGGAUGUAUCUUUGGAGAAAUGUAUGCUAGCAAGCCUAUUAUACCUGCUUGAACAGAGGAAAUGGUGAAGGCU